This 500-nucleotide ribosomal RNA is filed under the name uncultured bacterium. Its description in RNAcentral is "partial 16S ribosomal RNA". It matches the Rfam family "Bacterial small subunit ribosomal RNA", at positions 30 to 523 of the family's 1533-position model. The record is from RNAcentral.
AUUGAACGCUGGCGGCAGGCUUAACACAUGCAAGUCGAGCGGGGUGAUGGUGCUUGCACUAUCACUUAGCGGCGGACGGGUGAGUAAUGCUUAGGAAUCUGCCUAUUAGUGGGGGACAACAUCUCGAAAGGGAUGCUAAUACCGCAUACGUCCUACGGGAGAAAGCGGGGGCUCUUCGGACCUCGCGCUAACAGAUGAGCCUAGGUCGGAUUAGCUAGUUGGUGGGGUAAUGGCCCACCAAGGCGACGAUCCGUAACUGGUCUGAGAGGAUGAUCAGUCACACUGGAACUGAGAAACGGUCCAGACUCCUACGGGAGGCAGCAGUGGGGAAUAUUGGACAAUGGGCGAAAGCCUGAUCCAGCCAUGCCGCGUGUGUGAAGAAGGUCUUCGGAUUGUAAAGCACUUUAAGUCGGGAGGAAGGGCUGUAGGCUAAUACCUUGCAGUUUUGACGUUACCGACAGAAUAAGCACCGGCUAACUUCGUGCCAGCCGCCGCAGUAA